Molecule: long non-coding RNA, 1244 nt
Organism: Heterocephalus glaber (naked mole-rat)
Lineage: Eukaryota; Metazoa; Chordata; Mammalia; Rodentia; Bathyergidae
Source: RefSeq, a predicted model, not a curated record
AGGCCGUUCAGAAAGCAGUAUGAUUGGAGGCAUUUUAAAAAUUAUGUCAGAUCUUUCUCUUCCGUGCCAUGGCAAUGUUUCCGGAAGCUUCACUUUUAUUAAAAUGAGGGUAAGAGAACAAAUUUUAAUUUGAGGAUAAAAUUAGCAUUUUCCAAGCAGCCUUGGCGGCAGCAAGGACAUAUUUUGCCAGAAAAUGGACAUUCAGGGCGGGGUGGCGCGAGGUUGGGGGGAGCUGCGGCUGAUGGACGAUUAGUUCUCUCAGUUCAUCUCCAGGCAAGGGAGUAAACAAAUUAAUCUCGGAGCGGGAGCAGCCUGGAAGAUGAUGGAAGCCUUAAGGAUCCAGCAGCGUCUUUGCUGGGAAACCAGGAGGUACCACAGAGGCCCAGGGUGGCCUUAUUGCUGGCUCUGAGAGGUCAGGCUCUGGUCUGAGGUCACACAGUGAGAAGGGGCGCUCCCGCUGGGUUUUGAGAACAAAGGGAAAGUUGGGAAUAGUGCUACUUCUCCCAGACAAGCUUUGCCAGGGAUGAAGCCUCAGCUUCCCAGCCUAUUCUCUUGACCUCCAGGACCCCCCAGUAUCACCUCUCUUGCUACAGCUUCUUCUCUUACCUCUCCUUCCCAAUCUCUGGUACCAGGUUCAUUUGCUCACUUUCACCAGCCCUUGUUUCUGCUCACAACCUUCAGUGACUCACUAUCACCCUUGGACUGAAGCUCAGACUCCUCCCUGUGACAUUCUGGUCCCUCCAGGAUAUUACCACAACCCAUUUUUCCAGUCCAAGUGCCCACUGCUCUUUGCAGCUGCAAUCAGGUGCAUCUAAGAAGGUAUGAAGGUGAAGAUGAGGAGGUGCAGGGAGAUAGUGAUAUGCCCUGAGGUACUGGGGGUAAAAACCAAGCAGAAACCAGGAGCAUCAAAGUUCUGGGAAUCAGCUUUACUCCAUCUCUAUCAACACCUGCUCUGGAGAACACAGGAUCUUAACUUACAACUCUGCCUCAGCGUCCCAGAGUGCUGGGAUUAUAAUUAUGGGCCACCAUGCCUGGGUCACAUUCACUCUUUUAAAGCGUGCAGUUGGAUGGGUUGUGAAAGACACGUGUGCAGUAUCUCCACCUCUGCAAUCAAGAUGUGCAUUUCCAUUCACCACAGAAAGUUGCUUUGUGCCCCUUGGUGGAUUCCAUCUCCUAUCCCAGCUCCUGGCAUCCACUGAUGUGGUUUGGCCUUUUUCAGAUGCCAUUAAAUAGAAUCACCCAAU